CCCACCUGCAUACCAUGGAGGACCCUACACCUGAGUAGGUGAAUGCCUGAAGAAGGCUGUACCCCAUGAGAUGCUGUGAUUGGAGCAGGUUUGCUGACAAGGCCUUGUGACCUCAUGAGGGGCCCUGCUGGAGCAGUUAGCGAAGAAGUGGAACCUGUGCAAAGGCCCCACACUGGAGAAGUUUGAGGACUGUCCCAUGGGUGUGGCCCCAGAUUGGAGCAGGGGCAGCAGAGAUUCCCUCACAGCCCACAGUGAAGACCAUGGUGAAGCAGUUAUCUCCUGCAGCCCAUGCAGGACUGUGAGGUGGACUACACCAACAGCGGACUCUAGUGGGAACCCUUUGUUUUUAGCCAGGCUGCGGACAAGGAACAGUCUAGUUUGUAUUCCAGCAGCACCUAUCAACAGCAGUUACUGCAACAUUAAGCAGCCCCUUUCUGCAAAAGGUACUCAAGCAUGAUUUCAGAUGCUCAUCUGUGAAAAAUUUGGGAGGAAAACACUUCUGAAAGGCUUACUUCUGUGGAAAGAACAUCUUACUGCAUGCUGCAAGCUCCACAGCAGAAAAAAGGGAAAAAAAGCAGAAACAGGGCAUAUGAAGUUGAAGCUCAGGAAUAUGUUCCUUGGGGAACUCAGCACAAAAUUGAAGAAUAAGGUUUUAAAUCCAAAU
Long non-coding RNA from Vidua chalybeata, 664 nucleotides. RefSeq lists it as uncharacterized. The record is from RefSeq and is a predicted model, not a curated record. The transcript has 3 exons. Lineage: Eukaryota; Metazoa; Chordata; Aves; Passeriformes; Viduidae.